CUCCAUUAAGAUGUGCAAGAGCCAAGGCCACCCAGAGUGGAAGGUUCCUGGCCUGCCCCGGGCCCCGGCUGCAGAGAGCUCUGCGGAUGCCAUGGGACCAGAUGCCGCGUGAGCCAGGGCAGAGUGGAGCCCGUGCUGCGCCCAGAGCCCCGGCAUGAGCGGCUGCCCCCAGCUGUGACACCCGCCCGAAAACCAGCCUUUCAAUAAAGCUUCUGCCUGC
This is a long non-coding RNA of Mauremys reevesii (Reeves's turtle), 220 nucleotides long. RefSeq lists it as uncharacterized. Lineage: Eukaryota; Metazoa; Chordata; Testudines; Geoemydidae. The record is from RefSeq and is a predicted model, not a curated record. The transcript has 3 exons.